Molecule: ribosomal RNA, 467 nt
Filed under: uncultured bacterium
Lineage: Bacteria
Description: partial 16S ribosomal RNA
Rfam family: Bacterial small subunit ribosomal RNA
Source: RNAcentral
ACGAACGCUGGCGGCGUGCUUAACACAUGCAAGUCGAACGGAAAGGCCCUGCUUUUGUGGGGUGCUCGAGUGGCGAACGGGUGAGUAACACGUGAGUAACCUGCCCUUGACUUUGGGAUAACUUCAGGAAACUGGGGCUAAUACCGGAUAGGAGCUCCUGCUGCAUGGUGGGGGUUGGAAAGUUUCGGCGGUUGGGGAUGGACUCGCGGCUUAUCAGCUUGUUGGUGGGGUAGUGGCUUACCAAGGCUUUGACGGGUAGCCGGCGUGGGAGGGGGACCGGCCACAUUGGGACUGAGAUACGGCCCAGACUCCUACGGGACGCAGCAGUGGGGAAUAUUGCACAAUGGGCGGAAGCCUGAUGCAGCAACGCCGCGUGCGGGAUGACGGCCUUCGGGUUGUAAACCGCUUUCGCCUGUGACGAAGCGUGAGUGACGGUAAUGGGUAAAGAAGCACCGGCUAACUACGUG